GGAUCCAGACUUUGAUUAUGGCUCAGGACGAACGCUGGCGGCGCGCCUAACACAUGCAAGUCGAACGGAGAUUACAGGCGGAAGUUUUCGGAUGGAAGCUUGUAAACUUAGUGGCGGACGGGUGAGUAACACGUGAGCAACCUGCCUAUCAGAGGGGGAUAACGAUUGGAAACGAUCGCUAAUACCGCAUGACAUAGCGAAACCGCAUGGUUUUGCUAUCAAAGAUUUUAUCGCUGAUAGAUGGGCUCGCGUCCGAUUAGAUAGUUGGUGGGGUAACGGCCUACCAAGUCGACGAUCGGUAGCCGGACUGAGAGGUCGAACGGCCACAUUGGGACUGAGACACGGCCCAGACUCCUACGGGAGGCAGCAGUGGGGGAUAUUGCACAAUGGGGGAAACCCUGAUGCAGCGACGCCGCGUGAGGGAGGACGGUCCUCUGGAUUGUAAACCUCUGUCUUCGGGGACGAAACGAGACGGUACCCGAGGAGGAAGCCACGGCUAACUACGUGCCAGCAGCCGCGGUAAUACGUAGGUGGCAAGCGUUGUCCGGAAUUACUGGGUGUAAAGGGAGCGUAGGCGGGCAGGCAAGUCAGGCGUGAAAUAUAUCGGCUCAACCGGUAACGGCGCUUGAAACUGCAGGUCUUGAGUGAAGUAGAGGUUGGCGGAAUUCCUAGUGUAGCGGUGAAAUGCGUAGAUAUUAGGAGGAACACCAGUGGCGAAGGCGGCCAACUGGGCUUUUACUGACGCUGAGGCUCGAAAGUGUGGGGAGCAAACAGGAUUAGAUACCCUGGUAGUCCACACCGUAAACGAUGAUUACUAGGUGUGGGGGGACUGACCCCUUCCGUGCCGGAGUUAACACAAUAAGUAAUCCACCUGGGGAGUACGGCCGCAAGGUUGCAACUA
RNAcentral lists this ribosomal RNA (901 nucleotides) under uncultured Bacillota bacterium. Its description in RNAcentral is "bacterial SSU rRNA". It matches the Rfam family "Bacterial small subunit ribosomal RNA", at positions 1 to 902 of the family's 1533-position model. The record is from RNAcentral. Lineage: Bacteria; Bacillati; Bacillota.